RNAcentral lists this unclassified non-coding RNA (225 nucleotides) under Hevea brasiliensis (rubber tree). The record is from RNAcentral. Lineage: Eukaryota; Viridiplantae; Streptophyta; Magnoliopsida; Malpighiales; Euphorbiaceae.
UUCCGAUGAUGGGCAUAAAGGCAGUAUUUAUGCUGUCAGCUGGAGUUCGGAUGGAAAAUGGGUGCUGACUGUCUCUGCCGACAAGACAGCAAAAGUCUGGGAGAUAUCUGAUGAUGGUAAUGGGAAGUUAGAGAAAACCUUGACUUCUCCUGGCACGGGUGGUGUUGAUGAUAUGCUGGUUGGGUGUUUAUGGCAGAAUCAACAUCUUGUCACAAUUUCUCUUGG